RNAcentral lists this ribosomal RNA (253 nucleotides) under uncultured bacterium. RNAcentral's name for it is "partial 16S ribosomal RNA". It matches the Rfam family "Bacterial small subunit ribosomal RNA", at positions 524 to 776 of the family's 1533-position model. The record is from RNAcentral.
UACGGGGGGGGCAAGCGUUGUUCGGAAUUACUGGGCGUAAAGGGCGCGUAGGCGGUUGGAUAAGUCAGCUGUGAAAACCACGGGCUUAACUCGUGGCCUGCAGUUGAGACUGUCUGGCUUGAGUGUGGGAGAGGAGAGUGGAAUUCCUGGUGUAGCGGUGAAAUGCGUAGAUAUCGGGAGGAACACCAGUGGCGAAGGCGACUACCUGGCCUGUUCUUGACGCUGAGGCGCGAAAGCUAGGGGAGCAAACGGG